Long non-coding RNA from Macaca mulatta (Rhesus monkey), 2334 nucleotides. RefSeq lists it as uncharacterized. The record is from RefSeq and is a predicted model, not a curated record. Lineage: Eukaryota; Metazoa; Chordata; Mammalia; Primates; Cercopithecidae.
UGCCACACCUAGCUAAUUUUUGUAUUUUUUUUGUAGAGAUGGUGUUUUGCCAUGUUGCACAGGCUAGUCUCAAACUCGCAGACUCCAGUGAUCCAUCUGCUUUAACCAAUCAAAGUGCUGGAAUUACAGGUUUAAGUCUAAAUUUCCAAAGCCUCACACCUGUGGUUUCACCGAAAAGGUACCGCUGCAGGAAACCAGUGAUGGACAAAGGAUGCACGGUAUAGCUAUGAUGUAAGAGCGCCCUCUGCAGGCCACAUGAAGAAACAGAUUGCCUGCCCAGAAGCAACAUGGCUAAUGGGUGCUACUGCGGAGACCCAGGCAACCUGAGAAUAGUCCUGGCAGCCAGACCUCCAGGGUGGAAACGGGAAGAGCAACAGAGAAAGGUCAGGAUUUAACAGGGAAAUGGAGGAGGGCAAGAACAGGGGUCAGGAAGUAUCUAUGCAUUUUGAUAUGAAAUUAAGAAGUUCAUUUAAAAUAUACAGCCAAGGCCCGUGGCACUUUUUGUAACAAGAUGCUAGCUUAUCUUCCCACUAGAUCUUGUUGGACUUUUUUCAAACUGUAUCUGAUUGUGUUUUUCAAACUAGGCCAGGAGGGCCCCUCAACUUCUAAAAUACAAAAAUUCUUUCUGCUCCUCUUUUCAAAUCUUCUCAGAUUCUGGACACACCCAGCAAUUCCAUGUGCCUUUUCAUUCCUUUAAUCCUGUUAACUUUUUGUCUCUUCUUAGCAAUGACUUCCUUUCAUUUUAGAGAAAGUUCUGCUGGUAACAUACUAUAUAAGCCAGGAGAGAAAAAGAACUUGAAAGAGGAACACAAUUUUCUUUUUUUUUUUUUUCAAAAGAGAUAAGGGAAAAAAAUAAAGGAAGAGGAGAAAUAUACUACUCAAUACAGUUGUCAAACAAAUUUCUUGGAACCAUGGCCUACAAGAAUACCUAUCUUAACUGCACUGCACUAGAAACCACAUUUUCAUAUUCCUUUUGUGAUAAUUCUAAGAUAAUGAAUUAGAUGUUAGCCAUUGUUUUCCAGAAUAGAAUUUCUGGAGUUACUGGUAGUUCAGGGAAUUUUAGUCACAAGAUAUAUGUUUUCUAUAGCUUUGUGUGUGUAUAUAUGUGUAUGUGCAUAUAUACUUAUAUACAUGCACAUAUAUACACAUACACAAAAACAUACAUGUGCUAUAGCUUUUGAAUGGAGAUAUAUGUGUACAUACACACACACACACACAAACACAUUCAUUCAGUCAUUUAUAUUAUACAGCUUCCCUGAAGACCAACAGAAGAAAAAUGCAGGAAAUAUAAAGGCAACCUGGGGUCAGUCCUAUGCAGUGAGCUCUUUGAGGUCUCUAUUAGAAAUAAAAGAUUUCAGUCUUUUUUGGCUGGGCACAGUGGCUCACGCCUGUAAUCCUAACACUUUGGGAGGCCAAGGUGGGAGGAUUAACAAAAAAUACAAAAAUUAGCCGGGGGUGGUGGUAGGAGCCUAUAGUCCCAGCUACCUGGGAGGCUAAGGUAGGAGGAUCACCUGAGCCAGGGAGACAGAGGCUGCGGUGGGCCAUGAUCACGCCACUGCACACCAGCCUGGGUGACAGAGUGAGACCCUGUCCUAAAAAAAAAAAAAAAUCAAUCUUUUCAUAGUUAUUCAAAUUAAAACAACAAAAUAGAGAUGUGAAGACUUGGCUCAGGAAGAUUCAGUCAUCUCAACAGUCACUGUAAAGAACUGCCAUCAGACUCCUUUUGACUCUAAAUGGAAAAGGAUACCAACACUGUUCUUCCUAGGAAGCUAAUCUAUAGUUAAAAUAUGCACAUUACAUAGCUCUGUGUAUGUACAGUGUUGUAAUUGUUUAACAAAGCGGAGAUACUAAAUGCACUCAGUGCAUAAAACAUGUUUUAUUUAAAAUAGAGAAGAAAUUCCUGAGGAAACAAUAAAAUCAAGGAUGUUACAGUAAUUUCAUGAGCCAUCCAGAUAUAAUUACCAACCAAUAAAAAUAAAAUAUUUCAUAAUGCUCUCAGUUUUCUUUAAAUAUUGGCUUAUAAGACAUUGUUCUGUUAUUUUCUUUGGUUAAAACAAAGUUUUUAAAAUCAGUAUCUCAUACCUGUUAGUAUGUAUUAGUAGGAAACCUUUAUAAUAAAGGAAUUUUAUGUGCAAAAGCUGCCUCGUUUCCAGCUCUGGGGCAUUCAGGGAGCGCAAACCUCAGGGGCAUCAUUGUGGCCCAAAGAACCUGGGGAUUGAGUUGAUGGGGCCUAAGGGCCUAAACAACACAGUUAAAGAUGGAGAAGCAGGCCGGGUGCAGUGGCCUCCCCAAGGCAGACAGAUCACCUGAGGUCAGGAGUUCGAGACCAGCCUG